UACGAAGGGGGCUAGCGUUGCUCGGAAUCACUGGGCGUAAAGGGUGCGUAGGCGGGUCUUUAAGUCAGGGGUGAAAUCCUGGAGCUCAACUCCAGAACUGCCUUUGAUACUGAAGAUCUUGAGUUCGGGAGAGGUGAGUGGAACUGCGAGUGUAGAGAUGAAAUUCGUAGAUAUUCGCAAGAACACCAGUGGCGAAGGCGGCUCACUGGCCCGAUACUGACGCUGAGGCACGAAAGCGUGGGGAGCAAACAGG
This 253-nucleotide ribosomal RNA is filed under the name uncultured bacterium. RNAcentral's name for it is "partial 16S ribosomal RNA". It matches the Rfam family "Bacterial small subunit ribosomal RNA", at positions 524 to 776 of the family's 1533-position model. The record is from RNAcentral.